Erinaceus europaeus (western European hedgehog) is the source of this 866-nucleotide long non-coding RNA. RefSeq lists it as uncharacterized. The transcript has 7 exons. The record is from RefSeq and is a predicted model, not a curated record. Lineage: Eukaryota; Metazoa; Chordata; Mammalia; Eulipotyphla; Erinaceidae.
UCCUUAGGAUUGUAUGACAAAUCUUCAAUGAGAUGAAAGCCUUCGUCACCUUCGGUGGGCCCAGAUCUACUGUGUCCUGGAAAAUUGCAUGAUCAGUAGUUCUUCCUUGCCAUCUCAGUACUCUUCUGGAUUCAUGAGUAUGCUUGGGCAAGUCUUCAGUGGGAAGAAGGACUUCCUCAGCUUCAGAGCUCCUGCUUCUUCAUGUUCUGGAAAAGGCCAUGACCAGUGGUUUCCUCAGUGCCUUCUCUACACUUGUCUGGAUUCUUGAGGAUGCUUGGGCAAGUCUUCAAUGAGAAGAAAAACUUCCUCAACUUCAGUGCUCACACUUCUGUGUGUUCUGGAAAAGGCCAUGAUCAGUGGUUUCUUCAGUACCUUCUCUACACUCUUCAGGAUUAUUGAGGAUUCUUGGGCAAGUCUUCAAUGAGAUGAAAGACUUCCUCAGCUUCAGUGCUCCUUCUUCUGUGUGUUCUUGAAAAGGCCAUGACCAGUGGUUUCCUCAGUGCCUUCUCUUCACUCUUCUGGAUUCUUGAGGAUGCUUGGGCAAGUCUUCAAUGAGAAGAAAAACUUCCUCAACUUCAGUGCUCCUGCUUCUGUGUGUUCUGGAAAAGGCCAUGACCAGUGGUUUCCCCAGUGCCUUCUCUACACUCUUCAGGAUUCCUUAGGAUUGUAUGACAAAUCUUCAAUGAGAUGAAAGCCUUUGUCACCUUCAGUGGUCUCAGAUCUACUGUGUCCUGGAAAAUUGCAUGAUCAGUAGUUCUUCCUUGCCAUCUCAGUACUCUUCUGGAUUCCUUAGUAUUGUAUGACAAAUCUUCAAUGAUAUGAAUGACUUCAUCACCUUUAGUGGUCCCAGAUCUACUGUCCUGGAG